ACGGCGAGUGAGCGGCAAAAGCUCAAAUUUGAAAUCUGGUACCUUCGGUGCCCGAGUUGUAAUUUGGAGAGGGCAACUUUGGGGCCGUUCCUUGUCUAUGUUCCUUGGAACAGGACGUCAUAGAGGGUGAGAAUCCCGUGUGGCGAGGAGUGCGGUUCUUUGUAAAGUGCCUUCGAAGAGUCGAGUUGUUUGGGAAUGCAGCUCUAAGUGGGUGGUAAAUUCCAUCUAAAGCUAAAUAUUGGCGAGAGACCGAUAGCGAACAAGUACAGUGAUGGAAAGAUGAAAAGAACUUUGAAAAGAGAGUGAAAAAGUACGUGAAAUUGUUGAAAGGGAAGGGCAUUUGAUCAGACAUGGUGUUUUGUGCCCUCUGCUCCUUGUGGGUAGGGGAAUCUCGCAUUUCACUGGGCCAGCAUCAGUUUUGGUGGCAGGAUAAAUCCAUAGGAAUGUAGCUUGCCUCGGUAAGUAUUAUAGCCUGUGGGAAUACUGCCAGCUGGGACUGAGGACUGCGACGUAAGUCAAGGAUGCUGGCAUAAUGGUUAUAUGC
This 544-nucleotide ribosomal RNA is filed under the name Saccharomyces cerevisiae (brewer's yeast). RNAcentral's name for it is "partial large subunit ribosomal RNA". It matches the Rfam family "Eukaryotic large subunit ribosomal RNA", at positions 86 to 645 of the family's 3401-position model. The record is from RNAcentral. Lineage: Eukaryota; Fungi; Ascomycota; Saccharomycetes; Saccharomycetales; Saccharomycetaceae.